Molecule: long non-coding RNA, 503 nt
Organism: Homo sapiens (human)
Lineage: Eukaryota; Metazoa; Chordata; Mammalia; Primates; Hominidae
Exons: 3
Source: RefSeq, a predicted model, not a curated record
CAGAACACCUGUUUCCAAGAACGGGGUUUCCCUUGAGUGGACUCUUUUCCUUGAUAUGCCUUUUCUAAUAGCCACAUAACACCAUCUCGAAAGGUUACAACUUUCUUCAUAUCAGCUAUGUUUCUCAUUGUGUUUUCCUGAGGUAUCCUUGAUACUCUGCGGGAAGGAGAUAAUGGAGAUGCUGCAGCUGUAUGUCACCUUCUCUAAGUACCCAGGAGCAGCAAGAAACACUGAAUUUUGGAGUCUUAUCUGGAAAAGACUUGGAAUUGUAAUCCCCCACUUACUGACUGUAAGAGCCUUGGAUCUGUUCCUGAAAACAUGGUGUUCAAGUUGAACAUAUGAAAACAGAACUUCUUUCUUCUUCAAUGGAAGUGACACCUAACAAUUUGGAUUUAGAUUUCUCUGCCUCUUACAUCUACUGCUUGAUAAUGUAGAAACCAACAUUCAAAUCCAGGGAAGCAAAUCCUUUUUUAAAAGAUUUGAUUAAAUUAUCUGAGGAUAAA